AGGGGCAUCAGUUUGGUUUGCUUGCAAACCAAAGCUGGCGACCGGCGCACGGGUGAGUAACACGUAUCCAACCUGGCUCAUACUCGGGGAUAGCCUUUCGAAAGAAAGAUUAAUAUCCGAUAGCAUAUAUUUCCCGCAUGGGUUUUAUAUUAAAGAAAUUCGGUAUGAGAUGGGGAUGCGUUCCAUUAGUUUGUAGGGGGGGUAACGGGCCACCAAGACUACGAUGGAUAGGGGUUCUGAGAGGAAGGUCCCCCACAUUGGAACUGAGACACGGUCCAAACUCCUACGGGAGGCAGCAGUGAGGAAUAUUGGUCAAUGGACGCGAGUCUGAACCAGCCAAGUAGCGUGAAGGAUGACUGCCCUAUGGGUUGUAAACUUCUUUUAUAUGGGAAUAAAGUUGUCCACGUGUGGAUUUUUGUAUGUACCAUAUGAAUAAGGAUCGGCUAACUCCGUGCCAGCAGCCGCGGUAAUACGGAGGAUCCGAGCGUUAUCCGGAUUUAUUGGGUUUAAAGGGAGCGUAGGCGGAUUGUUAGUCAGUUGUGAAAGUUUGCGGCUCAACCGUAAAUUGCAGUUGAUACUGCAGUCUUGAGUGCAGUAGAGGUGGGCG
This 607-nucleotide ribosomal RNA is filed under the name uncultured Bacteroidales bacterium. RNAcentral's name for it is "bacterial SSU rRNA". It matches the Rfam family "Bacterial small subunit ribosomal RNA", at positions 65 to 663 of the family's 1533-position model. The record is from RNAcentral. Lineage: Bacteria; Pseudomonadati; Bacteroidota; Bacteroidia; Bacteroidales.